Molecule: ribosomal RNA, 254 nt
Filed under: uncultured bacterium
Lineage: Bacteria
Description: partial 16S ribosomal RNA
Rfam family: Bacterial small subunit ribosomal RNA
Source: RNAcentral
UACGAAGGGGGCUAGCGUUGCUCGGAAUUACUGGGCGUAAAGGGCGCGUAGGCGGAUGUCUAAGUUGGGGGUGAAAUCCCGGGGCUCAACCUCGGAAUUGCCUUCAAAACUGGAUAUCUUGAGUUCGGGAGAGGUAAGUGGAACUCCGAGUGUAGAGGUGAAAUUCGUAGAUAUUCGGAAGAACACCAGUGGCGAAGGCGACUCACUGGCCCGAUACUGACGCUGAGGCGCGAAAGCGUGGGGAGCAAACAGGG